UUGCCCCUACGGGAGGCAGCAGUAGGGAAUCUUCGGCAAUGGACGAAAGUCUGACCGAGCAACGCCGCGUGAGUGAAGAAGGUUUUCGGAUCGUAAAACUCUGUUGGUAGAGAAGAACGUUGGGGAGAGGGGAAAGCUCAUCAAGUGACGGUAACUACCCAGAAAGGGACGGCUAACUACGUGCCAGCAGCCGCGGUAAUACGUAGGACCCGAGCGUUGUCCGGAUUUAUUGGGCGUAAAGCGAGCGC
Molecule: ribosomal RNA, 248 nt
Filed under: uncultured bacterium
Lineage: Bacteria
Description: partial 16S ribosomal RNA
Rfam family: Bacterial small subunit ribosomal RNA
Source: RNAcentral